Molecule: ribosomal RNA, 524 nt
Filed under: uncultured bacterium
Lineage: Bacteria
Description: partial 16S ribosomal RNA
Rfam family: Bacterial small subunit ribosomal RNA
Source: RNAcentral
UGGGGAAUAUUGCACAAUGGGCGAAAGCCUGAUGCAGCAACGCCGCGUGAGGGACGACGGCCUUCGGGUUGUAAACCUCUUUUAGCAAGGAAGAAGCGAAAGUGACGGUACUUGCAGAAAAAGCGCCGGCUAACUACGUGCCAGCAGCCGCGGUAAUACGUAGGGCGCAAGCGUUAUCCGGAAUUAUUGGGCGUAAAGAGCUCGUAGGCGGUUUGUCGCGUCUGCUGUAGAAAACCCGAGGCUCAACCUCGGGCCUGCAGUGGGUACGGGCAGACUAGAGUGCGGUAGGGGAGAUUGGAACUCCUGGUGUAGCGGUGGAAUGCGCAGAUAUCAGGAAGAACACCGAUGGCGAAGGCAGAUCUCUGGGCCGUAACUGACGCUGAGGAGCGAAAGGGUGGGGAGCAAACAGGCUUAGAUACCCUGGUAGUCCACCCCGUAAACGUUGGGAACUAGUUGUGGGGUCCAUUCCACGGAUUCCGUGACGCAGCUAACGCAUUAAGUUCCCCGCCUGGGGAGUACGGCCG